GCAGUAUCUGCUAAACAGGUUGCUACAAAGCUUGACUCUUGACCUUUGUUUUUUUCAAUUCAAUUCAAUUCAAUUCAAUUCAAUUCAAUUUUAUUUAUAUAGCGCCAAAUCACAACAAAAGUCGCCUCAAGGCGCUUUAUAUUGUACAGUAGAUAGCACAAUAAUAAAUACAGAGAAAAACCCAACAAUCAUAUGACCCCCUAUGAGCAAGCACUUUUUUUAACAUUUAAAUUCAUACAAUUACGACAAAUUAAAUAUUUGUCCACUUUUUCUAGUUUUGAAUGUAAUAUAAAGUCAAACAAAGAAUUGUCUGUUUUGCUCAUAUGAUGAUCCAGAACUAAUAAUCCGAUAGAGUUUUUUCUUCUUGUGUGUCUCUAAAAGUGUAUCUACUUUUUGAUAACUUUGUUUUCAUUGUAAAACAGAUCAGUACAUUUGAUGAAAUGGUAUUAAUUUUGUACCUUUUCAUCUUCAGCCUUUGAACAAGAAAUGGCAUUGCUGUUGUUUUUACAUUUCCUUCCACCACCACCAGAAGGACAAAGGUCUCCAAAAAUCAGGGCAACUGAUGAAAGUCACAGACUUGUAGUCUUUCAUAAGUUUCCUUAUGUCAACCCCAGUCAUGCUGCAGUCUGGAAGAGCAACUCUGCAAUCAACAAGGUCGACAACCAUACCCCCUCACUGUUGGGCAUCAGAGGAGCAAGACUGACACCUUCUACAUCACCAUGGAUAAGCAUCUUAUUCCAUGUCAGGCGAGCCACUCACUCGGGGCAUUUGAUGAACUGUUCAAAGCACACUUUGUGUUUAAUUUGUCCCAAGAUAAUAUAAAGCUGGACUUGUUAUUUGCAGUGCAGUGGAAGAAGACAUGUCUGUUUUUUGCCAAAUAAGUGAUUUACUUUUGUUUGAAGAUUACAUUUUUUAAUGGGAAACAAGUUGUUUACAGUGUUUUGAUAACCAUCUAUAUGCAUUAAGAGUUGUACAUACUGAGGAGAGAUGAAUAGUGAAAAUGUCAGAUCUAAAGUUUUAUAAACCUUUUGAUAUGCAAAGGUCAUAUAAUGUUUCAGAUGAGACAGUGUACAUUGUACCGUCAUUCACAAAUCAAGACAUAAUAAAUGUCCUU
Oreochromis aureus is the source of this 1114-nucleotide long non-coding RNA. Lineage: Eukaryota; Metazoa; Chordata; Actinopteri; Cichliformes; Cichlidae. The record is from Ensembl.